This 87-nucleotide transfer RNA is filed under the name Desulfuromonadales bacterium. RNAcentral describes it as "tRNA-Leu". It matches the Rfam family "tRNA". From Rfam's summary of the family: Transfer RNA (tRNA) molecules are approximately 80 nucleotides in length. Their secondary structure includes four short double-helical elements and three loops (D, anti-codon, and T loops). The record is from RNAcentral. Lineage: Bacteria; Pseudomonadati; Thermodesulfobacteriota; Desulfuromonadia; Desulfuromonadales.
GCCCGGGUGGCGGAACUGGUAGACGCAAGGGACUUAAAAUCCCUCGGCCGCAAGGCUGUGCGGGUUCGAUUCCCGCCCCGGGCACCA